UUUUUUUUUUUUAAACUCGAUUUAGCAUUCUGGUAUCUGAAUGCUUUUAAAACUGCCCUUACCUCUUGAAGAAUCUCUGGGACAUUCAGCCAUCCAUCCACAUGGGUCCUUGCUUUGACUCAGGAGGACGGAAAGCAACAAGGGUCUCGCUCUAUCCCAGGCUGAUCUGGAGUUCACUUGUAGUCUCAGGAAUGCCC
Molecule: long non-coding RNA, 197 nt
Organism: Jaculus jaculus (lesser Egyptian jerboa)
Lineage: Eukaryota; Metazoa; Chordata; Mammalia; Rodentia; Dipodidae
Exons: 3
Source: RefSeq, a predicted model, not a curated record